AGCAGCCGCGGUAAUUCCAGCUCCAAUAGCGUAUAUUAAAGUUGUUGCAGUUAAAAAGCUCGUAGUUGAACUUCGGGAUCAAGGAAUCGGUCAUGCCUUGGUAUGUACUGGUUUUAUUGGUUCUCACCUUCUAAAGAACCAUAAUGUCAUUCAUUUGAUGUUAUGGGGAAUUAGGACUGUUACCUUAGAAAAAAUUAGAGUGUUUAAAGCAAGGCUUACGCUUGAAUACAUUAGCAUGGAAUAAUGAAAUAGGACGUUCGAUUCUAUUUUGUUGGUUUCUAGGAUCGACGUAAUGAUUAAUAGGGAUAGUUGGGGGCAUUAGUAUUCAAUUGUCAGAGGUGAAAUUCUUGGAUUUAUUGAAGACUA
This 366-nucleotide ribosomal RNA is filed under the name uncultured Glomus. RNAcentral describes it as "SSU rRNA". It matches the Rfam family "Eukaryotic small subunit ribosomal RNA", at positions 569 to 938 of the family's 1831-position model. Lineage: Eukaryota; Fungi; Glomeromycota; Glomeromycetes; Glomerales; Glomeraceae. The record is from RNAcentral.